GAUGAACGCUCGCGGGAGGCCUAACACAUGCAAGCCGAGCGGUAUUUGUUCUUCGGAACAGAGAGAGCGGCGCACGGGUGCGGAACACGUGUGCAACCUGCCUUUAUCUGGGGGAUAGCCUUUCGAAAGGAAGAUUAAUACCCCAUAAUAUAUUGAGUGGCAUCAUUUGAUAUUGAAAACUCCGGUGGAUAGAGAUGGGCACGCGCAAGAUUAGAUAGUUGGUGAGGUAACGGCUCACCAAGUCAAUGAUCUUUAGGGGGCCUGAGAGGGUGAUCCCCCACACUGGUACUGAGACACGGACCAGACUCCUACGGGAGGCAGCAGUGAGGAAUAUUGGACAAUGGGUUAGCGCCUGAUCCAGCCAUCCCGCGUGAAGGACGACGGCCCUAUGGGUUGUAAACUUCUUUUGUAUAGGGAUAAACCUACUCUCGUGAGAGUAGCUGAAGGUACUAUACGAAUAAGCACCGGCUAACUCCGUG
Molecule: ribosomal RNA, 479 nt
Filed under: uncultured bacterium
Lineage: Bacteria
Description: partial 16S ribosomal RNA
Rfam family: Bacterial small subunit ribosomal RNA
Source: RNAcentral